AGUGAACGCUGGCGGUAGGCCUAACACAUGCAAGUCGAACGGCAGCACAGUAAGAGCUUGCUCUUACGGGUGGCGAGUGGCGGACGGGUGAGGAAUACAUCGGAAUCUACUUUUUCGUGGGGGGGAACGUAGGGAAACUUACGCUAAUACCGCAUACGACCUACGUGUGAAAGCAGGGGAUCUUCGGACCUUGCGCGAUUGAAUGAGCCGAUGUCGGAUUAGCUAGUUGGCGGGGUAAAGGCCCACCAAGGCGACGAUCCGUAGCUGGUCUGAGAGGAUGAUCAGCCACACUGGAACUGAGACAAGGUCCAGACUCCUACGGGAGGCAGCAGUGGGGAAUAUUGGACAAUGGGCGCAAGCCUGAUCCAGCCAUACUGCGUGGGUGAAGAAGGCCUUCGGGUUGUAAAGCCCUUUUGUUGGGAAAGAAAAGCAGCAGGUUAAUACCCCGCUGUUAUGACGGUACCCAAAGAAUAAGCACCGGCUAACUUCGUG
This 492-nucleotide ribosomal RNA is filed under the name uncultured bacterium. RNAcentral describes it as "partial 16S ribosomal RNA". It matches the Rfam family "Bacterial small subunit ribosomal RNA", at positions 29 to 507 of the family's 1533-position model. The record is from RNAcentral.